Raphanus sativus (radish) is the source of this 853-nucleotide long non-coding RNA. RefSeq lists it as uncharacterized. NCBI's taxonomy places the organism in Eukaryota, Viridiplantae, Streptophyta, Magnoliopsida, Brassicales, Brassicaceae. The transcript has 3 exons. The record is from RefSeq and is a predicted model, not a curated record.
AAUGUCUGGACUAUCCAAAAGAGAAAUUGACGGUUUGAGUCACAUUUUGACUUUGGACAAUAUGAUAAAUCACAUUAGACUACUGAGGCCCUUUAUUUGUGGUUUAUUACUAUAGUAGCCUUGGAAAAGGAAACCAGAGUGGAUUUAGUUGGAUUUGGUCUUUAGAUAAGUUAGGAUUUCGAAUUUCAAAUUUUUUGGGCUUUUUUAUAUUUGUUUUUUAUUUGGAAGGGUGUGAGGACAGAGAAAGGGAACCAUUCUCUCAUUUCAUAAACCCGAGACUUUGUAACUAUUUGAGAGAAACUGUGCGACGAGAGACUUCCAGGCGAGAUUUAGACAGCAGACCGGAGGGUGAUGACGAGUAGGCGUAGACGGCAGGGGAAAGAGCAUGUUUCUGAUGGACCAAGUCCUGACGACACACCCGACGAGAGUUUGCCGCGGUGGUGACAAAGCCACAGAGUUUUCAGGCCAUGAAGUCAGAAGAGGAAAACCAUUCUGAUGGACCAGAUCCUAAACUUCCCGAGAGGUUAUUUGCUACAAAUCAUUGAGUAGCAGUGAAGUUUAUGGAGCAGUGAAGUUUAUGGAGUUGGUUGCUACAGGUGUUGAGAAGCCAGAUGUGGAGGAUUUGUCUGACUGUUCUGUUGACAUAUUCUGAUGGAGUUGGCUGAAUUCUUUAUCUGCAUAUUCUGAUGAUAAAGCCAAAUUGUAUCCUCAUGUACAGUGUAGCUUGUAUGAAUGAGUAGUGUACAUAGGUCUCGUUAUACACAUGUAUAUUAUUUCUGAUGAUCAAGCCACAAAACUAGUUGAAUAUUUUGACAAGUACGCGUUGUGUUUGUUGAUGUAAAUUUGAUGUGUA